GCGAGAAUAUUCGACAAUGGACGAAAGUCUGAUCGAGCGACGCCGCGUGUACGAUGAAGUUUUUCGGAAUGUAAAGUACUUUUAUGAGGGAAGAACGUUGACGGUACCUCAUGAAUAAGGGGCUCCUAACUCUGUGCCAGCAGGAGCGGUAAUACAGAGGUCCCAAGCGUUAUCCGGAAUCACUGGGCGUAAAGGGUGUCGAGGCGGUUGUAUUAGUCGUUCGUAAAAUCUACGAGCUUAACUUGUAGGCGGCGAACGAAACGGUACGACUUGAGGUUUGGAGAGGUGCGUGGAACUCACGGUGUAGGGGUGAAAUCCGUUGAUAUCGUGGGGAACACCAAAGGCGAAGGCAGCGCACUGGCCAAAAUCUGACGCUCACACACGAAAGCUAGGGUAGCGAAGAGGAUUAGAUACCCUCGUAGUGCCUGAGCGGGCUGGCAAGGCGCAU
Molecule: ribosomal RNA, 448 nt
Filed under: uncultured bacterium
Lineage: Bacteria
Description: bacterial SSU rRNA
Rfam family: Bacterial small subunit ribosomal RNA
Source: RNAcentral